AUACUUGCUUCAGCGGUACGUAUACUAAAAUAGGAACGACACAGGGAAGAUUAGUAUGACCCCUGCGCAAGGAUGACACGCAAAAUCGUGAAGAGUUCCACAUUUUU
Cimex lectularius (bed bug) is the source of this 107-nucleotide small nuclear RNA. NCBI's taxonomy places the organism in Eukaryota, Metazoa, Arthropoda, Insecta, Hemiptera, Cimicidae. The record is from RefSeq and is a predicted model, not a curated record.